Molecule: unclassified non-coding RNA, 342 nt
Filed under: soil metagenome
Description: partial contains 5.8S ribosomal RNA, internal transcribed spacer 2, and large subunit ribosomal RNA
Rfam family: 5.8S ribosomal RNA (bases 1-121)
Source: RNAcentral
GAUGAAGAACGCAGUGAAAUGCGAUAAGUAGUGUGAAUUGCAGAAUUCAGCGAAUCAUCGAAUCUUUGAACGCACAUUGCGCCCUUCGGUUAUUCCUUAGGGCAUGCCUGUUCGAGCGUCAUUUCAACCUUCAAGCCUGGCUUGGUGUUGGGCGCUGUCCCGCCUCCGCGCGCGGACUCGCCCCAAAUGAAUUGGCAGUCGCACCCUCCGAGCCGCGAGCGCAGCACAAGUCGCGCGGGCGGAACUCUGGGGGGACGGACGCUCCACAAGACCCUUUCUCAGUCUUGACCUCGGAUCAGGUAGGGAUACCCGCUGAACUUAAGCAUAUCAAUAAGCGGAGGA